AUGAGUCACCUAUUUUGGAACUGCCAGGGAGCGGGGAACCGCUGGACAGUUCGUGAAGUUGGGGCUUUUGUGAAAGCCCAUUCCCCAAAGUUGGUCUUUCUUGCUGAAACAAGACAGACCAGUACAAAAAUUGAAAGAUUGAAGUGGAAAUUAGGACUGAAAGGUUUCUGUGGCAUGGAUUGUGAAGGCCGUGGCGGGGGACUAGCUUUGUUUUGGGAUGAGUCCCUCCAGGUGAUAGUACUGGAAUCCAGUAAAAGAUUUAUUGAUGUAAGUAUUAUCGAUCAAGGUUCUGGAAAAGCAUGGAGAUCUACUUUCGUCUAUGGUGAACCACGUGUUGAACAUCGCCAUCGCAUGUGGGAACACUUGAUUAGAUUAAAAGGGACCUCAGCUCUACCCUGGGUAGUCUGCGGAGAUUUUAAUGAGGCCCUUUGGCAACAUGAGCACUUCUCACGUACUAGUAGAGGUGAGAACCGGAUGGAAGCAUUCAGAGAUACACUUUUGUUAUGUGAACUUGGGGACUUGGGGUUCUCAGGUGUGCCAUAUACAUAUGAUAAUGGAUAG
This 561-nucleotide ribosomal RNA is filed under the name Triticum aestivum (bread wheat). Its description in RNAcentral is "partial small subunit ribosomal RNA". The record is from RNAcentral. Lineage: Eukaryota; Viridiplantae; Streptophyta; Magnoliopsida; Poales; Poaceae.